Molecule: ribosomal RNA, 579 nt
Filed under: uncultured bacterium
Lineage: Bacteria
Description: bacterial SSU rRNA
Rfam family: Bacterial small subunit ribosomal RNA
Source: RNAcentral
CCUACGGGAGGCAGCAGUGAGGAAUAUUGCGCAAUGGGGGAAACCCUGACGCAGCCACGCCGCGUGGUGGAUGACACCCCUAUGGGGCGUAAACACCUUUUAUGAGAGAAGAAGUCCCUACUCGGUAGGGUUUGACGGUACCUCAUGAAUAAGCACCGGCUAACUCCGUGCCAGCAGCCGCGGUAAUACGGAGGGUGCAAGCGUUGUCCGGAAUCACUGGGUGUAAAGGGUGUGUAGGCGGAGCUGUAAGUCAGAGGUGAAAUCCUACGGCUCAACCGUAGAACUGCCUUUGAUACUGCAGCCCUUGAGUAUCGGAGAGGUUGCUGGAAUUCGUGGUGUAGCGGUGAAAUGCGUAGAUAUCACGAGGAACACCAGAGGCGUAGGCGGGCAACUGGACGAUUACUGACGCUGAGGCACGAAAGCGUGGGGAGCAAACAGGAUUAGAUACCCUGGUAGUCCACGCUGUAAACGAUGGAUGCUCGGUGUCGCCCUCUCAGUAGGGCGGUGCCUAAGCUAACGCGUUAAGCAUCCCACCUGGGGAGUACGCUCGCAAGAGUGAAACUCAAAGGAAUUGACGGA